RNAcentral lists this long non-coding RNA (1402 nucleotides) under Daucus carota (carrot). Its description in RNAcentral is "long non-coding RNA (DCAR_LNC004477)". The record is from RNAcentral. Lineage: Eukaryota; Viridiplantae; Streptophyta; Magnoliopsida; Apiales; Apiaceae.
UAUGCAACAUAAAUCAACUUCAAAAUCCUUUCUUUUAUUCUUUUAUAUUCCUUUCUUUUCUUGGCAGUGUUAUUUUCUUUUUAGAUGUUAGCUAGGUUAUAUUGUCUAAAUUUUCGAAUACCGUAAAUAAAUAAAAAUAUACGUUGCCGUGAUACAAUUUAUUUUGAUUUAGUUGAUCCUCGAGAAAAAAUCAAAUAUCAGGCCGUUUGGCAAAUAUUUUCUGAUUUGUUUUCAUAAAAUCAUAAUUUUUUAUUAUUUUUUAGAUAUAAAUUUUAAUUAAAGAAGUGUUUCAUUCAUUUGGCAACAACAAAAAAGAGGUGUUUCAUGAUAAAAAAAUAAGAGCUUAUAUUAAUUAAAUAAAUUUCAAUAUAUUUUUGUUUAUAAAUAAGUUCCUAUUUCUCAAAAACAAAAUUAUUGAAAUGACUCAUUAUCUGAAAACAGUCUGCUGCACAAACUCGACCUUACCGGUUGUCAAAACAUGCAUCGUUGAAUAUUUAAGAUGGAAAUUAUUAGUUUGUGAACUAACAAUUUUGUUAUCUCAUGUAACUUCAUUCACACUACUUGAUAAAUAAUGAUUCAUUUUAUUCAUUCUGCUGCCACUCACAUUCUGAUUUAAAGUUAAAACGUAUAAUUAUGAUUCAUGCAGCACGAAGGAGACUUAGAAUUGUCAGAGAAGUACGUUUCCAUAUAUAAAAGCUGAAACCUGAUCAUCUCAUGACUGUUAAUUACUCCGUCAACAUGCAUAUACACACACGAGACAGGUCAUUAAAAUUCUGGGCUACUAUACCAAAAUUCAUCUAUAUAUACAUGUAAAUACGACAUACACAUCUAAUGGCUAAGUCAAUCUCCGUGGAAGUUUCGCCGAGAAGCUCCGAAAGGCAAAGUGGUGGAGGUGCGCAUCAUCCUGGAAAUUAAGAGCGUAAGACAAGUGAACAUUGUCAUCAAAUUUACACGAGCUCUGCUGGCGGCUAAACACCAGGCACUUCUUCAACUCCGGCAGAUCAUGCUCUCUUAUCUUGAAACAAAACACCGAGAGGAUUCGUUUCAGCUUCCUCUUCACUGACACUGGGGAUGAAUAAGAGUCCAUGAUGAUAUCGUUGAGUUGCGAGACAAAAAGCUUGUGAAGAAUUAAAGUGUUUGAUUUAAGUGCAUAUUUUGAUUCGGUGGAGUGGUGAGGAUUUAUAUAGAUCGGCCUUGAGAGUGCUGCGGUGUUAAAAGACAGGGACCAACUUGGUGCGGGAAGGAGAGGACACGAAUGCAGCACGAAUUUUACCAAGUGUCGAUAACGUAUGGGUGGAUAUCAACGCCUAAGAGCAAGUCGAAGAGUGUCCUAGUGAAAGCCCUAAAUAUAAUAUAAAAUAUUAUGUCCUAGUGAUAUAGGACAUGUUUUACCUAACUGAAC